GACGAACGCUGGCGGCGUGCUUAACACAUGCAGGUCGAACGGAAAGGCCUCUUUCGGGGGGUACUCGAGUGGCGAACGGGUGAGUAACACGUGAGUAACCUGCCCUUGACUUUGGGAUAACUUCAGGAAACUGGGGCUAAUACCGGAUAGGAGCUCCUGCUGCAUGGUGGGGGUUGGAAAGUUUCGGCGGUUGGGGAUGGACUCGCGGCUUAUCAGCUUGUUGGUGGGGUAGUGGCCUACCAAGGCUUUGACGGGUAGCCGGCCUGAGAGGGUGACCGGCCACAUUGGGACUGAGAUACGGCCCAGACUCCUACGGGAGGCAGCAGUGGGGAAUAUUGCACAAUGGGUGGAAGCCUGAUGCAGCAACGCCGUGUGCGGGAUGACGGCCUUCGGGUUGUAAACCGCUUUCGCUCAUGACGAAGCUUUGUGUGACGGUAGUGGGUAAAGAAGCACCGGCUAACUACGUG
Molecule: ribosomal RNA, 467 nt
Filed under: uncultured bacterium
Lineage: Bacteria
Description: partial 16S ribosomal RNA
Rfam family: Bacterial small subunit ribosomal RNA
Source: RNAcentral